AGGACAGGGAGGGGAGCACUGGACCUCAGGAAGCCUUCAGGGGGAGGACACAGGACAGUGACAUCACAGGAUACCCCUCCCAUCAGGAAAAUCAAGGCCCAGAACUCACUCGGCUCUUCCCCAGGAGGACCAAGCCCUGAAUCAGAUGCAGCGCUGCCUGCCCCACUGUGCCAUGGGCCCCGGGCUCCUCUGCUGGGCACUGCUUUGCCUCCUGGGAGCAGGCCCAGUGCAGGCUGGAGUCACCCAAAGUCCCACACACCUGAUCAAAAUGAGAGGACAGCAAGUAACUCUGAGAUGCUCUCCUUUCUCUGGGCACACCAGCGUGUCCUGGUACCAACAGUCCCUGGGUCAGGGGCCCCAAUUUAUCUUCGAAUAUGCUAAUGAGUUAAGGAGAUCAAAAGGAAACUUCCCUGAUCGAUUCUCAGGUCGCCAGUUCCGUGACUAUCACUCUGAGAUGAAUGUGAGUGCCUUGGAGCUGGGGGACUCGGCCCUGUAUCUCUGUGCCAGCAGGUUGGCACAGCCCUGCAGAGUCACUGGAACUCUGUGCACUAAUCUCUCUGCUUCCGUAUAUGGCAGUCUCAGACCAGACAGCUGUGAGAACCUGGGGCCUUCAGGGGGAAAGAAAAACAACUUCAGGACUCUGAACAAGGCUGGCGGAAACAAGGACAGGAGGAUCUGCUCAGAGGAUGGUGCUGCUUCAAGAUGUUCACGGCAAAAUUACUUUCUUUGUCGGAUGCUGUACACCAUAGUGAUAGAGUAGCUGGCACUCUCCUUUUUAGAAAAGGAAAUUCAUUUUGGUGUCAGGAUUGUUCGACAGAUGUGUAGUAUAGAAGGUAAAAUCUCAAGGGUUGGCUUUAUGUAAUUAAGGGAGAGGAAAUUGAGAUUUGGUUUGGAGAAAUUUGAGGAGACAGAACAUGAUUAAAGAUUAUUAAAAAAAUAGAAGUAGAGCUACCAGAUGAUAAAAAAUUGUGUUCUCUGCAACAUAACCUGUCAAAGUUUUCAAUUGCUAGAAAAUAUGCAGCAAGACCUUGUAGCAACUGGCAUCACCCCAAGGCCAGUCUAGGAUGGUCAUCACCACGUAGCCACUUGCCCCGUGGGAGGGCCCUGGGGCUGGUUCCAGUGUCUUCCUUCUGGACUUAGAUCUCAAUUCUCAAAACAGAGGAAUUCAUUUUACUGCUGAAGGUAAACAGAAAAAGGCUCUCCCAUUUCCCCAAAGAUACAUCCUCCUUCCCUUGUAUCUCUUUCUGACACUCACCGCCCAGAUCUAUUACCUUCUGUGAUCAAACACCUCUUUGAAUAUUUCCUAAAACUCUGCAGCCUUUACAUUCUCUGCAUUUGUGCUCAGUAUUUCCAUGUCUUGGAAGGACCUUUUGUCUCCCAAGAAACAGACAGACUCUGCUUAUCGGUCAAGGAUGGGCUCACACCUGCUUUCCUCUUCGCUUCUUACCAUGACAUUCCCCAGCAUUGUACUAUACCACCAUCUUUAUUAUUUUCCUAGGAAAAGUCAAGUAUUAAUUAAAUAUAUAAUGAAAGUUAUUUGAUGUUGUGAAAUGUAUGUUAAUUCCUGCUUAUAUAGAGUUCUGGAAUAUUAUUACUUUUAUUAAUGUGAGGGAUAUUAUUAACCACUAACUAUUCCUGGUUAGAGAUCAAAGUCACUUCUGCGUAGUGAUAGCAAAUGUGAGAACCAACUGAAUCUGUUUGAAUUACAGCUGGCAGUGUUAUUCAUUUCAAAAUUUUUAUAACUUAGAAGUAACUUUUUAAAAUCUAGAAACCCUUUUGUAAAAUGCACUGUCUAAAAUUUAGUAAUAAUGAACCUAAAUACAAAAUAUGAAAACAUAUGGGUGUAAUUAACCGGGAUUAGCUGUGGAAUAUAGGGUUUCCAGGCUGGGUCUCCUUGAUAUCAUCACACUGUUUAAUCGUAUGGCCUUCAUAAUUCUAGCUGGUCUCUACCAUCUUAACAUAUUACUUGCAAUUAUGUAACAAUUGUUUAUUUUGUAAUCAAAAUGUUGGUUCAUGUGUCCUUCGACUCCAUUGGUGAAGGGUGGAUUUGAAAAUCAACCAUAAAUGGACUCUUCUGGGAAAGCAUGGAGGGGGUGUGUAAGAGAGUGGGGGUGGCAGGAGUGGGGGCAUCUCUGUUUCUGAUUUGGACAAUUUGAGCAUAUCACGUCAGGAGGUAUGAAUCCGUGAGACUGUAGACUGUUGGCCACUUGGAGGCGCUGUGGCUCCACAGUGCUGCAGAGAACUCAGUGGAGGGGUGGGAGAGUGGCCAAGAGAGGAGGGCUGAAGGGGAUGCCUGGCUGCCUGCUGGCAUCAGAGGGGUGGAUGGAAUUCCCUGAGUGGGGCCUGGACUUGUAGAGUUAAGCACAAACUCUCAUUGCCUUGGAAGAGUUGGGGUGCCAGAGGCCUCCGUUUGCACCAAGAAGGGAGUGUCUCUGCUGCUGCACAGGCAGUGGAGGGUGAAGGGGCUGGGGUGGCAAGGGCUGGGGAAUCAGUGUCAGGGCAGGGACAGGGCGGGCAGAGGAAAGUAAGGUGUGAUGUGGGUAUGUUGGGACUGUGUUCAGUCCUCCUCACCUUUAGCUUCUGGCCUGUGCAAGACAGGAAUAGUACAUGGAGUAGCAGAACCUGAGGCCUGCCAAAGAGUACAGUGGGCUGGAGUGGUCUGCAGGGGAAAGUAUGUCAGUGCGGUGACAUCACAGGUCAAUGCUCCUAUCAGGAAGAAGGGAGCUUGGGAACUGCAGAAUGCUUACUACAGAGACACCAGCCCCAAGCUAGGAGAUCCUGCCAUGGGCUUCAGGCUCCUCUGCUGUGUGGUCUUUUGUCUCCUGGGAGCAGGUGAGUCCUGGGCACAGCUUGAAAGUCUCUGGUCUUCAUUUCUUGUCCCUGAAAUACAUGCGGGCCAAUGAUGGCUUCAGCAGGAGGCUUUCUUCUGUGCCUUAUGGUUAACUUUUGUCUUCUGACACACAGGCCCAGUGGAUUCUGGAGUCACACAAACCCCAAAGCACCUGAUCACAGCAACAGGACAGCGAG
Pongo pygmaeus (Bornean orangutan) is the source of this 3027-nucleotide non-coding RNA. NCBI's taxonomy places the organism in Eukaryota, Metazoa, Chordata, Mammalia, Primates, Hominidae. The record is from the annotation of a RefSeq genome assembly.